UCUUUUUUCUGUUGUCUCUCUUCUACCUACAUUUUUUUUUUUUGACAGAUAGAAAUUUUAUUAAAGCAAAAGACCGCUAUGGGUUAAAGUUCCAUAAUUCAUUCAAGCCAUUUAUGCUUUUUUGAAUUUAAUAUUCAGCUUCGUCAAGAAGGGAAUGGCAAAAUUCAAGGAUAGGACUGAAGAUGUUGUGCGGCAUUGUGCUGUUUCAUUAGGGUAUAAUGAGCAAGAACUACGGGUGUAGAUUCCGUGCUGCUUGCUUGAGCUAUUUGAGUUAAAUCUUUAACAUUGAUGUCUCCAAGUGGCAGUACAGUUGACAAGAGUUUCCAAGUGGCAGUACAAGUUGGCAAGAACUUUGGGUCUCUCGGUCAUACUGGUUUGUCUCAAGUUUGAACUUUCUAGUAAGCUGAAUACUAAAAACCCUUGAUGUCUUACAGGUUCGUGCUUUGGAGCGGGCGCUGGUGUCCUGGGUAUAGGAAAGCAAGCAAAGCUCCGAUUCCUAGUUCUAAAAAAAGAAAGAAUAAUAAAAUUCUUUUAACAUUGGUACUAAUUUUGAGUGAGAGGCUCCAUUCGGUAACAUCACAAUUUGAUAAGAUAAGAGCCAUUCGAUUUCAAGAUAUCAUAAACAAAGCAGUACCAAGAAGAAAACCAAACCAGGUAACUAAACCUCGUUCUGCAGAUACCCCUGAAUAUAAUAAUACGGAGCUGAAGGAAACUACUACUUUUGAGCAUGAACCUGUCCGAGCCCAACAGCAACUGUUGGAUGAUGAAACUCGCACUUCAGUCCAAGAAACAGAAACUAAGAUGGUUGAGAUGUCUGCUUUGAAUCACCUUAUGUCUACCCACGUUUUGCAACAAGCACAACAGAUUGAAUUUCUUUAUGAACAGGCUGUUAAAACUACGAAGAAUGUUGAGCUCGAGGUAAUAAAGAACUUUCCCAAGCAAUUCAGCGGAAUAGCAGCAGCAGAACGUUCCUUCUUCUUUUUCUAUUUGUGCUCACCUUUUCAAUUCUUUUUCUUGAUUGGUAUAGUUGAUUGGAUUGGGUGUUGUAUCACAUUUAUGUUUUCCAUUCACAUAGAAGCAAGAAAAAGAUGAAAGCACCAAUGAAAAUGUAGAUCACAUUUUUGUUACUGUAACUAUUUUUCUUUUUAAAUAUCUAAACUCAAGUAGUUACAUUGUAAGUGGAUUCCAAGGUAAAAUUUGGUGGGAAAGGAAUCAUAUAACUAUCUUCCUUGAAGAAACUAAUCUACUUGAGGGCUGGCUUCUCAUUUUGCAGCUGUUAUACCACAGGAGUGAACUCAUCUGCUACUUCAAUUUCUCAACGUGCCAUGCAUUAAUUUGUAGCUGCUGAAGCAUGAAGUUUUCCUGUGCCAGGUGUACAUCCCAUGGCCUUUUCUCUGUAUGACCAGAUGAUUUUCAGCCUCAAGAUUUGCUUUUUUUCGAGCUAUGCUUCUCACCAUCAGACUUGCUGCAAAUGCAACCAGGAUAAGGAUUGGCGUAGAACUUGUCCUCCAGUUUUGAAGACUUCCCGGGACGGCUUGGAUAUGCCAACUUGUUUCCAAGGUGUUCGAUCUCUGGAUUAAACCUUAAAGCUUCGUACAUUGCCCGACAUCGUAGCUUUUGUGUCGAUUCAGCGACGCCACUGUUAGCUAGACGAGAGUUGUGAAGAAUACGCACAUUGUGUCGAUUCGAGGGAGAUGCCAUAUGCAGUCUAUAAUAACGAGGAACCAAGAAAAUGGGGCAGUUUCAAAGGACUUGAUAGCAGCAAUUUCUGAGGGGAGAGACUCUACUACAUGAACUUCAUCUCUCACAACUUGUAUGAAGUUUUGCCUUUGAAAUCACUGUAGAAAAGGAUUCUUAUUAAAUUUUUUAGAAUUGGAAUAAGAACUCCUUUGACGUUGUUUACUAAAUUGUCUGGAAUUGAUAUUCUUUCUAGCUAA
Non-coding RNA from Momordica charantia (bitter melon), 1937 nucleotides. NCBI's taxonomy places the organism in Eukaryota, Viridiplantae, Streptophyta, Magnoliopsida, Cucurbitales, Cucurbitaceae. The record is from RefSeq and is a predicted model, not a curated record.